Molecule: unclassified non-coding RNA, 229 nt
Filed under: Hevea brasiliensis (rubber tree)
Lineage: Eukaryota; Viridiplantae; Streptophyta; Magnoliopsida; Malpighiales; Euphorbiaceae
Source: RNAcentral
AUUAAUGUUGGUUUUCUUCUUGUUUUUUUGGGCAAAGAAAUCCUCAAAGUACAUAGUCCAACCACUCUCUUCAGCACAACCAUGAUCAUCAUCAUCAUCACCAAAAAAGCAAGUUCUCUCAGGGACAAGUUUUCUCAUAGAAUUCAUUGAUGAGCCCUGCAUAUGUGUAUAGAAACUUGAGAAGAAGAAUACAAGGAGAAGAUAUAGCUAGAGAUAUAAAUGAAAUUUG